CAGCCGCCGCGGUAAUACGAAGGGGGCUAGCGUUGUUCGGAUUUACUGGGCGUAAAGCGCACGUAGGCGGAUCGAUCAGUCAGGGGUGAAAUCCCAGAGCUCAACUCUGGAACUGCCUUUGAUACUGUCGAUCUGGAGUAUGGAAGAGGUGAGUGGAAUUCCGAGUGUAGAGGUGAAAUUCGUAGAUAUUCGGAGGAACACCAGUGGCGAAGGCGGCUCACUGGUCCAUUACUGACGCUGAGGUGCGAAAGCGUGGGGAGCAAACAGGAUUAGAUACCCGUGUAGUCCCUGUCUCUUAUAC
This 301-nucleotide ribosomal RNA is filed under the name uncultured bacterium. Its description in RNAcentral is "partial 16S ribosomal RNA". It matches the Rfam family "Bacterial small subunit ribosomal RNA", at positions 509 to 807 of the family's 1533-position model. The record is from RNAcentral.